Molecule: long non-coding RNA, 704 nt
Organism: Papaver somniferum (opium poppy)
Lineage: Eukaryota; Viridiplantae; Streptophyta; Magnoliopsida; Ranunculales; Papaveraceae
Exons: 5
Source: RefSeq, a predicted model, not a curated record
UUCUUCAUUUAUCUUCUACUUUUCUAUCGGCAGAGCUGUGAUGUGAAAAUGAAAGCAAUACUUUGGGUUCUAGUUGUGAAUUUUGUUUUCAGCUGGAUUAUUUCUAUUAAAUCUCUUUGUUUUCUCUCCCUAUCUGUUGUUCUUUUCACAAACCCUAGAAAUUGAUAGAGAUGGCAUCAGAUCAGUGGUAAGAUUUAUUUGAGGAGAUUCAGAACUUCUAUAGAUUUUUUUAAUAGAUGGAUCUCCUUUGCCUGAGAAAUCACUGGAGAGAGUCGUGGAGGAUGGAGGUCGUUAUUUCAAAUUAUAAAUAAGCAGGUGAUAUCAUGAGGAGUUUUGUUCCAAUGGGUGUUUCUAGAUCAAUUGAUGCACUUGCGAAUGCAGACAUUGAGGCCAGAGUACAAUCAAAUCCUUGUGAAGAUGCCUGGGGUUGUGACUUAUUGGGAAAUUAGGAAUCCUCCAUCUAGGGGUAAAAGCUUAUAAACGGUCCUGCUCUUUUCGGUAGCACAGCUGCUUUCAACCUUCAAGACCUACCUAUGUACUCGCGAGUUAACAAUUAAUAAUAGAACCAUUUCUUGGGACCAUGAUUUUUCUGGGAGGACCAUGAUUUGAUUAGGCCAUCCUCCAUAUAAUUUUAAGGGGUGUCCUAAAGUUCCAAAAUGACCAAGUUACCCUUUACUUAAAUAAAUAUUUAUUUUAAUUUUUCA